Molecule: ribosomal RNA, 479 nt
Filed under: uncultured bacterium
Lineage: Bacteria
Description: bacterial SSU rRNA
Rfam family: Bacterial small subunit ribosomal RNA
Source: RNAcentral
GAUGAACGCUGGCGGCGUGCCUAACACAUGCAAGUCGAACGGAGAUGCGAUGUGAGCGAGAGGUGCUUGCACUGAUUAAUCUUUUCGUAUCUUAGUGGCGGACGGGUGAGUAACGCGUGGGUAACCUGCCUUAUACCGGGGGAUAACACUUAGAAAUAGGUGCUAAUACCGCAUAAGCGCACGGUGUCGCAUGACACAGUGUGAAAAACUCCGGUGGUAUAAGAUGGACCCGCGUCUGAUUAGCCAGUUGGCAGGGUAACGGCCUACCAAAGCGACGAUCAGUAGCCGGCCUGAGAGGGUGAACGGCCACAUUGGGACUGAGACACGGCCCAAAACUCCUACGGGAGGCAGCAGUGGGGAAUAUUGCACAAUGGGGGAAACCCUGAUGCAGCGACGCCGCGUGAGUGAAGAAGUAUUUCGGUAUGUAAAGCUCUAUCAGCAGGGAAGAAGAAAUGACGGUACUGACUAAGAAGCCCCGG